RNAcentral lists this ribosomal RNA (468 nucleotides) under uncultured bacterium. RNAcentral's name for it is "partial 16S ribosomal RNA". It matches the Rfam family "Bacterial small subunit ribosomal RNA", at positions 28 to 507 of the family's 1533-position model. The record is from RNAcentral.
GACGAACGCUGGCGGCGUGCUUAACACAUGCAAGUCGAACGGAAAGGCCCUGCUUUUGUGGGUUGCUCGAGUGGCGAACGGGGGAGUAACACGUGAGUAACCUGCCCUUGACUUUGGGAUAACUUCAGGAAACUGGGGCUAAUACCGGAUAGGAGCUCCUGCUGCAUGGUGGGGGUUGGAAAGUUUCGGCGGUGGGGGAUGGACUGGCGGCUUAUGAGCUUGUUGGGGGGGUAGUGGUUUACCAAGGCUUUGACGGGUAGCCGGCCUGAGAGGGGGACCAGCCUCCAUGCGACUGAGGGACGGCGCAGAAUCGAACCGGACGCAGUGGGCGAGAAUAUUACAGAAUAGCGCCGAGCCAGAGGCAGCAGCCCCGCGUGCGUGAAAAUGGCUUACGAGUUAAGAACAGAUUUCGCCGGAGAUGAGGACUGAGUGACGGUACCUAAUCAGGAAGCACCGGCUAACUACGUG